GAAAGCCUGACCUCAAUAACCUGGCCAUUUUUCCAGACGGAUGCUAAAAAAUAUAUUAAAAAAGAACAUACGUUAUCAGCCGGACAUCCCGGAGGUGCGUUUGCAAUUUGUUUGCUGGUUGACAGCUUCAUUUUGUUAAUAGAGAGACAAGGGGUCUUAAAAGCCAGAGGACCCCUGCAGAUGGGCCUUGCAUCAGCCAAAGGGGAUGCUGGCACAACCAACACCCCCCCCACACAGACAAAAAAACUGUUUGAUAGAGGAGAUGCGUUUAAGUCGGGGAAAGCAGAAUGCCAUGCCUCUUAGCGAUGCCUUUGAUCAAUCAGAAGAGAGGCCUAAUGGAGGCUUAAUUUAAUGAAACCUAUUGGGUAAACAGACCCUCCAUCUUCAAAGGUACCGCCAAAGUCUUUUUCUACCAUCGGGAGGCUAUGUCCACAGACAUCUGAGUCCCUCUAAAUGCACUCGACAUCUAUUUUGGCUGAGCUCAGACUGCAUGGACUGUAGGUGACAACUGAGAGAUGGGCAUAAUACAUUUAUAAACUGUAGAUAUUUGAAUGUUGAGCAUAGUGUUUUCCCUUAAAGUGGCUAUGAUCUAAAAUGCCUCAGUGGGUAGCCUAUAAUCGGACCAAUAGCAAGCUUGACAAUGCAUGAGUGCCACAUUUACAAUACUUUAGGUUUGAGAAUAUACAUUGAGAAUGAAGAUUUUAGACCUUUUUUGGGAUUUCAGUGUGCCAUAGUGUCCAACUAGAGGAGCUGUCUUCCCUUUUUGCAGACACCAGAUGGCGAUGUUGCUCAAGGAAUUCGGCCCUCUGAAUUAUCUGGUUGAGAGUUUGAACCAUCCAUAAGUUCAACAGUCCCUUCACGGUGGAUUUUACAUUGAGGAGUCAAGACGAUCUCGUUUUCUCGUCCAGUUUAUGUCACUGGUCGAGCGUGACAAACACUUUAAAAAAAACAUUAUUUUUUUUAGGCUGAAUGGCUUCAAGUCUCUCUAUCCAGGGAGAUAAUUGAUGUAUGUCUGAAGCUUUUACGGAGUCAACCAGCCUUGAAAUAAUGAACAAUUGAAUCACCUGAUACAGUCAGAUGAAUGGAAUAAAAAGCGUUCUUCUGCACCGA
Molecule: long non-coding RNA, 1110 nt
Organism: Oncorhynchus gorbuscha (pink salmon)
Lineage: Eukaryota; Metazoa; Chordata; Actinopteri; Salmoniformes; Salmonidae
Exons: 2
Source: RefSeq, a predicted model, not a curated record